GAGAUCUAGUCGCCAAAUCCCUCUUCGGGGGGAGCGGGCGAACUGGCAUUCGGUGAAGCUCGCAGAAGCGAGCAGGGUAAGCCUUUCAGCCCUAACCGUCUAGCUAAGCCCGCAGGCGUUGGAAAGGCCUC
This 131-nucleotide small RNA is filed under the name Dehalococcoidia bacterium. Its description in RNAcentral is "c-di-AMP sequence". It matches the Rfam family "c-di-AMP riboswitch aptamer (ydaO/yuaA leader)". Rfam says of the family: This family represents a conserved RNA structure found upstream of the ydaO and yuaA genes in Bacillus subtilis and related genes in other bacteria. The ydaO/yuaA element is thought to act as a genetic "off" switch for the ydaO and yuaA genes in its native state. Lineage: Bacteria; Bacillati; Chloroflexota; Dehalococcoidia. The record is from RNAcentral.